GAGAGGGAGAACGAUCUUGGCUACCGAGGGUGGCGGAUGAGCGGGGCUCCGGAUGCUCCGCUCCCCGGUCCGCGCCCCGCGCUGCUCCUGGCCCGACGGCGGCUCUUGGCUCCUGCCCUGGCCGGGGAGUUUUCAUAAAUUCUGGCUAUAAAAGAAGGAGGAAAAAAAACCCUCCUCAAAACCCAACGAAAAGGCAGCGCUGAGCAGCGGGACCCAGAAGCAGAGCGAAAGCCCCCAGCCCUGCACCCGCGGCAGUAAUUCCAGCUUUGUUCGUGGGCUUUCACUGGCAAAUAUCACAUUAAAGCCGGACUACGCAACUCGCUCCCCUGCGGAGCCCCGGCCUUCCCCGCUCGCCAGCGGCCGACGCCGGUGCACAGAAAAACGCCGGUGGCGUUCGGGGAACCGGGGCACCAGGCUGCCGGCACGGCGGGCAGCUGCCUAGCUUCUUCACCGGCACGGAGACCGGCAGCCGUCCCUCGGGCGGCCUCGCUGCCGGUUGUCCACGGAGCCUCCCACAACAGGGCGCUCCCCAGACUGGCUCUGCAAGACCGCAGCUCCGACCGAGCCCCCGGCGGCGGCGCCCGCCGCCCGGUGCUUCCACGUCGCCAGGCCUCUCCCCCGGCCGCCGACGUGCGGGCAGUCCCAGGACCGGGCCGAUUUGGCUCGGUAGCCCUAGCGGAACUGCCUCGGCCCGGGAGGAGCCGCCGCCGGUGCACGACGGUGACAGAUCCAGCCCGCGCUCCCCCCUCGGAAGGAUGGAUGUGAACGAGCUACUAAGUGUAGUUACUAAUAACAAUAACAAUAAAUUAUCGGACUGUUGCUCAGUAAUGCAAACAAAUGUUCCGUGAACUACGCGGAGUAUCCCCGUGCCUCGCAGCAGCCCCACCGGGACCGGCCCGUCUGACGAGCGGCUGCUCCACGGCCCAGAGAGACGACCCUGUUCGCCCGGCGGCCUCACGGAGCAGGUGACAGGGCCAGUGAUGAGGGACGGGGCCAGCCAGGGUGGCCGAUAGGGAAGCUGGUGCCGGCGGUAUCCGGCAGAAUGCGGUCGGAGGCCGUGCCGCGUGAAAAGCGGCGAGCACCGACCCGGUAUUUUAAUUAAGCAGGACCUCUUUGAUAUAGGCCGCUUGAUGCUAUCUAUCUCUGCUCUCUGUUCCCGUCACGACAGCAUUUGGGUAGGAAAAUUGCUGAGCGAGGCGGGCCAGGCAGGGCGUCGGUGCCGCGCCGAGGAGCCGGAAAGCCCCAGGGAGCGGCGGGCGCUGCGCAGCGC
Haemorhous mexicanus (house finch) is the source of this 1270-nucleotide long non-coding RNA. RefSeq lists it as uncharacterized. The record is from RefSeq and is a predicted model, not a curated record. The transcript has 3 exons. NCBI's taxonomy places the organism in Eukaryota, Metazoa, Chordata, Aves, Passeriformes, Fringillidae.